RNAcentral lists this ribosomal RNA (918 nucleotides) under uncultured bacterium. RNAcentral's name for it is "bacterial SSU rRNA". It matches the Rfam family "Bacterial small subunit ribosomal RNA", at positions 8 to 916 of the family's 1533-position model. The record is from RNAcentral.
AGAGUUUGAUCCUGGCUCAGGAUGAACGCUAGCUACAGGCUUAACACAUGCAAGUCGAGGGGAAACGAUAUAGAAAGCUUGCUUUCUUUAGGCGUCGACCGGCGAAUGGGUGAGUAACGCGUAUCCAACCUGCCCCUGAGUAAGGGAUAGCCCAUCGAAAGAUGGAUUAAUACCUUAUGGUCUCCUUUGCAGACAUCUAAUUAGGAGUAAAGAUUUAUCGCUGAGGGAUGGGGAUGCGUCUGAUUAGCUUGUUGGCGGGGUAACGGCCCACCAAGGCAACGAUCAGUAGGGGUUCUGAGAGGAAGGUCCCCCACAUUGGUACUGAGACACGGACCAAACUCCUACGGGAGGCAGCAGUGAGGAAUAUUGGUCAAUGGGCGGAAGCCUGAACCAGCCAAGUAGCGUGCAGGAUGACUGCCCUAUGGGUUGUAAACUGCUUUUAUACGGGGAUAAAGUCAGGGUCGUGACCCUGUUUGCAGGUACCGUAUGAAUAAGGACCGGCUAAUUCCGUGCCAGCAGCCGCGGUAAUACGGAAGGUCCAGGCGUUAUCCGGAUUUAUUGGGUUUAAAGGGAGCGUAGGCCGGAGAUUAAGUGUGUUGUGAAAUGUAGAUGCUCAACAUCUGCACUGCAGCGCAUACUGGUUUCCUUGAGUACACACAACGUUGGCGGAAUUCGUCGUGUAGCGGUGAAAUGCUUAGAUAUGACGAAGAACUCCGAUUGCGAAGGCAGCUGACGGGAGUGCAACUGACGCUGAAGCUCGAAAGUGCGGGUAUCGAACAGGAUUAGAUACCCUGGUAGUCCGCACGGUAAACGAUGGAUGCCCGCUAUUCGGCCGAAUGGUUGAGUGGCCAAGCGAAAGCAUUAAGCAUCCCACCUGGGGAGUACGCCGGCAACGGUGAAACUCAAAGGAAUUGACGG